AUUGAACGCUGGCGGCAGGCCUAACACAUGCAAGUCGAGCGGAGCGGCGGCCGGGUGCGUAAUGCCUAGGAAUCUGCCUGGUAGUGGGGGAUAACGUCCGGAAACGGGAGCUAAUACCGCAUACUAUCAGAUUAGCCUAGGUCGGAUUAGCUAGUUGGUGGGGUAAAGGCCUACCAGGGCGACGAUCUGUAACUGGUCUGAGAGGAUGAUCAGUCACACUGGAACUGAGACACGGUCCAGACUCCGAAGGGAGGCAGCAGUGGGGAAUAUUGGGCAAUGGGCGAAAGCAUGAACGAGCCAUGCCGCGUGUGUGAAGAAGGUCUUCGGAUUGUAAAGCACUGUAGGUUGGGAGGCGGUACCAACAGAAUAAGCACCGGCUAACUUCGUGCCAGCAGCCGCGGUAAUAC
RNAcentral lists this ribosomal RNA (407 nucleotides) under uncultured bacterium. RNAcentral's name for it is "partial 16S ribosomal RNA". It matches the Rfam family "Bacterial small subunit ribosomal RNA", at positions 30 to 526 of the family's 1533-position model. The record is from RNAcentral.